AACGCACAUUGCGCCCCUUGGUAUUCCGGGGGGCAUGCCUGUUCGAGCGUCAUUUAUACCAAUCUAGCCCCGCUAGGUGUUGGGUUUCGCCGUUUGGCGGGCCUUAAAAUUAGUGGCGGUGCUCCUCAGCUCUACGCGUAGUAAUUCUUCUCGCUACAGGGUCUUGUGGAGAUGCUUGCCAGCAACCCCGAAUUUUUCUAGGUUGACCUCGGAUCAGGUAGGGAUACCCGCUGAACUUAA
RNAcentral lists this unclassified non-coding RNA (240 nucleotides) under uncultured fungus. RNAcentral describes it as "partial contains 5.8S ribosomal RNA, internal transcribed spacer 2, and large subunit ribosomal RNA". The record is from RNAcentral. Lineage: Eukaryota; Fungi.